RNAcentral lists this long non-coding RNA (205 nucleotides) under Amborella trichopoda. Its description in RNAcentral is "long non-coding RNA (ATRI_LNC002152)". Lineage: Eukaryota; Viridiplantae; Streptophyta; Magnoliopsida; Amborellales; Amborellaceae. The record is from RNAcentral.
AUCAUCAAGGCUUCAUAUAUCGAAUACAUCAGGUAUGUUGAUUUAUCAUUCAAUAUAUUUAUUUAUAUGAAUUUGUUUUUGGUGCGUUUUUGUUUUGAAAAUUGCGUGAAGUGAAAUAUCAGCCAUUUUUUGAAGAAUGAUCUCAAUUGUGAAAUGAUGUUCAUGAUAUUUGGGGCAUUUUAAUUGUGAUUGAAGUAUCUAUCAU